AGGGCAUUUGAAAAAAUAAAAAGAAAAUCUGAAUGGUUCUUUAACAAGUUUAAAGUCGGGCUUGUUCCGGUGGUAGACUCUCAGGAGUUUCAACACUUGGUCAAGGGUUCGAGUACCCAUUCGUGGUGAAAUUCCACUAGCGUGAGUGUGUGGGGGUGUGUGUCCUUGUUGGGAAGGGAUUUAUUCAAAUUGAGAGCUUAAAUAAUGAAGAGACCUUGUUGCCAAGGGAUUUACAUAAAUUAUGAGGUUAAAUAAUGAAGGGACUCUUUUUCUUUUU
Molecule: long non-coding RNA, 277 nt
Organism: Magnolia sinica
Lineage: Eukaryota; Viridiplantae; Streptophyta; Magnoliopsida; Magnoliales; Magnoliaceae
Exons: 2
Source: RefSeq, a predicted model, not a curated record